GAUGAACGCUAGCGGCAGGCUUAACACAUGCAAGUCGAGGGGCAGCACGUCUUCGGAUGGUGGCGACCGGCACACGGGUGAGUAACGCGUAUGCAAUCUACCUUUUACAGGGGCAUAGCCCGGGGAAACCCGGAUUAAUAUCCUAUAGUACCAUUAUAUAGCAUUAUAUUAUGGUUAAAGUUUCGGCGGUAAAAGAUGAGCAUGCGUCCUAUUAGCUUGAUGGUAAGGUAACGGCUUACCAUGGCUAUGAUAGGUAGGGGUCCUGAGAGGGAGACCCCCCACACUGGUACUGAGACACGGACCAGACUCCUACGGGAGGCAGCAGUGAGGAAUAUUGGACAAUGGGCGCAAGCCUGAUCCAGCCAUGCCGCGUGCAGGAAGACGGCCCUAUGGGUUGUAAACUGCUUUUAUACGGGAAGAAACACCCCUUCGUGAAGGGACUUGACGGUACCGUAUGAAUAAGGAUCGGCUAACUCCGUGCCAGCAGCCGCGGUAAUACGGAGGAUACC
This 509-nucleotide ribosomal RNA is filed under the name uncultured bacterium. RNAcentral describes it as "bacterial SSU rRNA". It matches the Rfam family "Bacterial small subunit ribosomal RNA", at positions 28 to 536 of the family's 1533-position model. The record is from RNAcentral.